This 492-nucleotide ribosomal RNA is filed under the name uncultured bacterium. RNAcentral's name for it is "partial 16S ribosomal RNA". It matches the Rfam family "Bacterial small subunit ribosomal RNA", at positions 29 to 507 of the family's 1533-position model. The record is from RNAcentral.
AGUGAACGCUGGCGGUAGGCCUAACACAUGCAAGUCGAACGGCAGCACAGUAAGAGCUUGCUCUUACGGGUGUCGAGUGGCGGACGGGUGAGGAAUACAUCGGAAUCUACUUUUUCGUGGGGGAUAACGUAGGGAAACUUACGCUAAUACCGCAUACGACCUACUGGUGAAAGCAGGGGAUCUUCGGACCUUGCGCGAUUGAAUGAGCCGAUGUCGGAUUAGCUAGUUGGCGGGGUAAAGGCCCACCAAGGCGACGAUCCGUAGCUGGUCUGAGAGGAUGGUCAGCUACACUGGAACUGAGAAAGAGCACAGACACCUACGGGAGGAGGCAGUGGAGAAUAUUGGACAAUGGGCGAAAGCCUGAUACAGCCAUACCGCGUGGGUGAAGAAGGAGUUCGGGUUGUAAAGCCAUUUUGUUGGGAAAGAAAAGCAGCAGGUUAAUACCCCGCUGUUAUGACGGUACCGAAAGAAUAAGCACCGGCUAACUUCGUG